Molecule: ribosomal RNA, 848 nt
Filed under: Pseudomonas sp. 3Sp27
Lineage: Bacteria; Pseudomonadati; Pseudomonadota; Gammaproteobacteria; Pseudomonadales; Pseudomonadaceae
Description: bacterial SSU rRNA
Rfam family: Bacterial small subunit ribosomal RNA
Source: RNAcentral
AGAUUGAACGCUGGCGGCAGGCCUAACACNUGCAAGUCGGGCGGUAGAAGGAUGNUGCUUCUCUUGGAGCGGCGAACGGGUGAGUAAUGCCUNGAAUCUGCCUGGUAGUGGGGGAUAACGUUCGAAAACGAACGCUAAUACCGCAUACGUCCUACGGGAGAAAAGCAGGGGACCUUCGGGCCCUGGCGCUAUCAGAUGAGCCUAGGUCGGAUUAGCUAGUUGGUGAGGUAAUGGCUCACCAAGGCGACGAUCCGUAACUGGUCUGAGAGGAUGAUCAGUCACACUGGAACUGAGACACGGUCCAGACUCCUACGGGAGGCAGCAGUGGGGAAUAUUGGACAAUGGGCGAAAGCCUGAUCCAGCCAUGCCGCGUGUGUGAAGAAGGUCUUCGGAUUGUAAAGCACUUUAAGUUGGGAGGAAGGGCAUUAACCUAAUACGUUAGUGUUUUGACGUUACCGACAGAAUAAGCACCGGCUAACUCUGUGCCAGCAGCCGCGGUAAUACAGAGGGUGCAAGCGUUAAUCGGAAUUACUGGGCGUAAAGCGCGCGUAGGUGGUUUGUUAAGUUGGAUGUGAAAUCCCCGGGCUCAACCUGGGAACUGCAUUCAAAACUGACUGACUAGAGUAUGGUAGAGGGUGGUGGAAUUUCCUGUGUAGCGGUGAAAUGCGUAGAUAUAGGAAGGAACACCAGUGGCGAAGGCGACCACCUGGACUAAUACUGACACUGAGGUGCGAAAGCGUGGGGAGCAAACAGGAUUAGAUACCCUGGUAGUCCACGCCGUAAACGAUGUCAACUAGCCGUUGGAAGCCUUGAGCUUUUAGUGGCGCAGCUAACGCAUUAAGUUGACU